RNAcentral lists this microRNA precursor (140 nucleotides) under Anopheles epiroticus. RNAcentral's name for it is "microRNA mir-598". Lineage: Eukaryota; Metazoa; Arthropoda; Insecta; Diptera; Culicidae. The record is from RNAcentral.
UGCUGUUGUUGAUGAUGAUGAUGGUGAUGAUGAUGGUGGUGAAGGUGGAAAAGAGGAUGAUGAAAAAUCGAUUUUUCCUACGAUGGUAAAACUCAUCGCCACCGCAGCCACCGCCAUCACCAUCAUCAUGAUCAUCUUCG